CAGCAGCCGCGGUAAUACGUAGGGGGCAAGCGUUGUUCGGAAUUACUGGGCGUAAAGGGCAUGUAGGCGGUUUUGUAAGCCUGACGUGAAAGGCUAUGGCUUAACCAUGGCACUGCGUUGGGAACUGCGAGACUUGAAUCACGGAGGGGGAGCUGGAAUUCCAGGUGUAGGGGUGAAAUCUGUAGAUAUCUGGAAGAACACCAGUGGCGAAGGCGAGCUCCUGGCCGAUGAUUGACGCUGAGGUGCGAAAGUGUGGGGAUCAAACAGGAUUAGAUACCCUGGUAGUCCACACUGUAAACGAUGUGCACUAGGUGCUGGGGCGGACGCUUCAGUGCCGGAGCUAACGCGGUAAGUGCACCGCCUGGGGAGUAUGCUCGCAAGGGUGAAACUCAAAGGAAUUGACGG
Molecule: ribosomal RNA, 405 nt
Filed under: uncultured bacterium
Lineage: Bacteria
Description: bacterial SSU rRNA
Rfam family: Bacterial small subunit ribosomal RNA
Source: RNAcentral